ACACGACUACAUUAGAUACCCGGGUAGUCCCAGCCCUAAACGAUGCGCGUUAGGUGUAUCGGUGACCACGAGUCACCGAGGUGCCGAAGGGAAACCGUGAAACGUGCCGCCUGGGAAGUACGGUCGCAAGGCUGAAACUUAAAGGAAUUGGCGGGGGAGCACCACAACAGGUGGAGCCUGCGGUUUAAUUGGACUCAACGCCGGGAAGCUCACCGGAUAGGACAGCAGAAUGAUUGCCGGGCUGAAGACCCUGCAUGACUAGCUG
RNAcentral lists this ribosomal RNA (265 nucleotides) under uncultured archaeon. RNAcentral's name for it is "partial 16S ribosomal RNA". It matches the Rfam family "Archaeal small subunit ribosomal RNA", at positions 717 to 982 of the family's 1478-position model. The record is from RNAcentral.